This 2897-nucleotide long non-coding RNA is filed under the name Homo sapiens (human). RNAcentral describes it as "HSALNT0165661". The record is from RNAcentral. Lineage: Eukaryota; Metazoa; Chordata; Mammalia; Primates; Hominidae.
UGUUGCUAUCUGGACAAUCAAUGAACUGUUCAUGAUGCUCUCUCUGGCCACCUUCCAGACAGGAAGAAAGAGCAGAGGAUCACUGUGAGAGGAAUUUGAGGAUCAAAUCCUGAAGUGGUACAUGUCACUACUGUUCAUAGUCUCUUUGCUGGAACUUGGUCCUAUGGCCCUACUGGCAGAGAGGAAGGCUAUGAAACCCAGUCUAGGCCUGCGCCUAGAAGAAGAAGAAGAAGAAACACCUUUUGAAGAACAGAGAGCAGUCUCUGUCAUACCAGGAGUACCUGUCACAUACUUGUAGAACAAAAAUCAGUAACAUUUUAAUUAUUGAAACAAUGUAACAACUUUAAACACAGUUUCAUAACUAGGAGUGAAUCACCCAUAAUCUCAUACCCGGAACAAAAUAUCUGUUAGUAUGAUGCACCUUUACAUAGCUGUAAUCUUAAAGGGCAUGUACUUCCUUCUUUGCUUUCCUUUUUUUUUUUCUUCAUCCUUUCCCUCUCUCCCUCUCUCCCUCUCUCCCUUUCUCCCUUCCUUCUUUCUUUUCUUCCUUUCUUUCUGAUUUUCUAACUUCCUUCUUUAAACAUUCCUUGAUCGUCUGUGGGUCUGGACAGCAACAUGGAGAUCAAUUAGGCGCAGCAUUUUAAAUUUGCCCUCAAGAAGUUCCACUAGUGUAAGAGUAGGCAAGUAACCAAUUAUUACAAUAGUGGGACAAGCGCUGUGAUAGAAAUAAAUACAGAGUACUGUGGCAGUCCUUACCCAGAAAAAGAUAUCUAGGGUAGAUGGUAUCUGAACUGAGAAUUAAAGAAUAAAUAGAAGAUAGCAUGGCAAAAAAAGUUCAAGAGUGUUCCAUUCUUUGAGAAUAGGGCAUUGAGAUAGAACCUGUAGACAUGAGAUAGAACUGUGUGCAUCCUGGAAAUUGCACAUGGUUCAGAUUGAUUGGGAAAUAGAGUGUGGAUGGGAAGUGAUGAAAGCUGAGUCAGUAGAGUUCGAUGGGGGUCAAAUUGUGAAAGAGUGUGAGCUCUGCUAAGGAGAUGAUAUUUUAGCUUAAAUACCAGAAGAGCCAUUGAAUUAUUUUAAGCAUAGGAGUGAUCUAAUCGGAACUCUGCUUGAGAAAGAUAACCCUGGUUGCUGUGUGAAAAAAUAUACCAGAGGCAAACAAAGUUGAAGCCAGGAGACCAGUUAAAAGACAAAAUUCAUAAUUUAUAUGAGAUAUGAUGAUAGUUUGACUUAGGCUGUGAUUGACAUUGCAGAGUAACAUAUCGCAUUCAAGAGAUGUUUGGAUGAUGAAACCAAGAGGGCUUGGAAAUUGAUUGGAUAUGAGGCAUUAGAGGAAUAUGUUAGGGCUAGAUCCCAGGAUUCUGGUUUAGAUAAUUGGAUAGACAAUUAAAGCAGAAACUAUUGAAGAAGGGGAGAAGAUAAAGAGUUUUGAUUUUCAUUUCAAUUCUAAGGUAUUCUUGGAAAUAUAAGUAGAGGAUGCUGAUGGGGGUUGGUUAUAAAGCAAAUUCAAGAGUGAGACUUCUGGAGUUAAGAUACAUAAUCGGAUCUGUAAGAAUGAAAGAAAGAAGUUGUUCAGGGACUAUGUGUACAGUAUGAAGACCAACAUAUAAAUGAAAUAUAAAAGAACAAAAGCUGACAAUGGAGUCUGUGAAAGAGCAAACAAAAAAAUGAGGAAGAGAACAGAGCAUGAAGUCACAGAAACCAAGGGAAGAAAAUUUUAGAUGCCGAUCAAAGAUCAAGGAAAAUAAAGAUAAAAAUGUGUCAAUUAGAUUUGGUAUUAAAGAAAGCAUUAGUAUCUUUUUGAAUACAAUUUUAUGGCUGCAUGGCAAAGAAUCAGAUGACUGGAAUCAGGAAGUGAAUAGAAAGUGAGAAAUGAAAAGGGCUCUCGAUAAGGUUUCCCUUAUUGAGAUAGGAGGUAAGCUCUAAUGUUUAUUUGAAGUUUUUUUUUUUCUUCCAAAGCUGGGAAAGAUUUAAUAAAGUAUGAAUGCUUUUAAGGAAAAGUUUGUAGACAGAGAUUUUUUGACAAUAGUAGAGCAAAUCAUGGCGAAAUAAUUGAUAGGAUGAGGUCCCAAGAAAGCAAGAACACUCCUUGAGGAAGAAGCUUUCCAUUUUAACAGGCAGUAACAAAGAGCAAUGAAUCAGGAUGAGUCUACGUUUGUCAGUUUAGAGUGGAAAUUGUUGGUAGAGCUCAUGGGACAACUCCUAUUUUACUUGUGACAAAAGCUUAACUGCUGAGAGCAAACAGGGUGGUGGGAUCAGCUAUUAUUUUUAAAUGGAGAAAUUUAAAAAUCACAAUUGCGAAGUAAAAUCUUUCAAGAAAGAUAGAAGAGGAAUACUGCUUAGUGCUGUGCGCCUCUUUGAAGUCAGAGUUGAUGCAGUGACCACCAUGCCAAGGGCUGCUUCGGGGCUUUCUCCCACAGCGCUCAUUGAGCUAUGUGAGAAGGCGAAGAUGGAAAAUAGGUGAAUGACAGCACACAUAUCACACGAGUUUGGCAAGAGGAUAAGUGAGGCAAGGGUAGCAGCAAGAGAGUGAAGAAAAUGCUCAGCCAGAAAACCUAAGCUGACUAUGAAAGAAGGAAAACAGUUCCACAGACUGGAGAGUUGCAAGAGAUACAGAUUAAGCAACAGUAAUUAACUGAAGAAGAAUUAAUUAACUGAAAGAAGUAAUUAACUUCUUUCUUAGAAGAAGAAGAAAAAACGGUAAUAUCCUGAGCAUGUAUGUUUUACUUUACUAUGACAUAAAGAGUCCACGGAGAUCUAAAUAAAUAUUUGUUGAAUGAUGAACGAGUGGAUUUUUCUGUGUGCACAUAUAAACUUUCACCUGUUAUUAUACACCUAGGUUGCUUUUAUUUUCAGUUUGUUUUUGAAAUUAUCAGUAGAGUUUUUCUUUCAGAGUGUAC